Molecule: ribosomal RNA, 899 nt
Filed under: uncultured bacterium
Lineage: Bacteria
Description: bacterial SSU rRNA
Rfam family: Bacterial small subunit ribosomal RNA
Source: RNAcentral
AGAGUUUGAUCCUGGCUCAGGACGAACGCUGGCGGCGUGCCUAACACAUGCAAGUCGAGCGGAGAUGUACUGAAGAUUUAUCGGAUGUACAUCUUAGCGGCGGACGGGUGAGUAACGCGUGGGCAACCUGCCUUUCACUGGGGGAUAACACAGGGAAACCUGUGCUAAUACCGCAUGACAUCACGUAGGGCAUCCUAUGUGAUCAAAGGAGAGAUCCGGUGGAAGAUGGGCCCACGUCCCAUUAGCUGGUUGGUGAGGUAACGGCUCACCAAGGCUGCGAUGGGUAGCUGGUCUGAGAGGACGAUCAGCCACACUGGAACUGAGACACGGUCCAGACUCCUACGGGAGGCAGCAGUGGGGAAUAUUGCACAAUGGGCGAAAGCCUGAUGCAGCGACGCCGCGUGGAGGAUGAAGGCCUUCGGGUCGUAAACUCCUGUCUGGGGGGAUGAACACUGACAGUACCCCCGGAGGAAGCCCCGGCUAACUACGUGCCAGCAGCCGCGGUAAUACGUAGGGGGCGAGCGUUGUCCGGAAUUACUGGGCGUAAAGCGCGCGCAGGCGGCUUGUUAAGUCAGGUGUCAAAAUGCGGGGCUCAACCCCGUAUCGCACUUGAAACUGGCAGGCUUGAGUGCAGGAGAGGGAAGUGGAAUUCCUAGUGUAGCGGUGAAAUGCGUAGAUAUUAGGAGGAACACCAGUGGCGAAGGCGACUUCCUGGACUGUAACUGACGCUCAGGCGCGAAAGCUAGGGGAGCAAACAGGAUUAGAUACCCUGGUAGUCCUAGCCGUAAACGAUGGGUACUAGGUGUUGGGGGUGACAAUCCCCCAGUGCCGCAGUUAACGCAUUAAGUACCCCGCCUGGGGACUACGGCCGCAAGGCUGAAACUCAAAUGAAUUGACGG